Molecule: microRNA, 23 nt
Filed under: Caenorhabditis elegans
Lineage: Eukaryota; Metazoa; Nematoda; Chromadorea; Rhabditida; Rhabditidae
Description: cel-miR-8208-3p
Source: miRBase by way of RNAcentral
UUGGUUCAGGAAUGGGCGGAACU